UCCAUGACAACCAUUAGAUGGUCUCUACAUGCUAACUGCUUGUUUGUGAUGGACCAGUCCUACCGUCACAAACAAAAGGAAACAAAGGGACAAAUCUAGACAGAAAGAAGAAAUAAUCCCUGAUCUUCUAAACCCAGUAGAGAAGCUGUGGGCUGAACUGGGGAGAAGAGAGGAACCAGAACUCUGGACCAUCUAGACAGACUGUGAAGCUUCGACGUGACGGAUGUUCCCUCGUUGGUGUUUCAGUCCAGGUGGGCUCAGAGAGCGGAACAAACCCACCUUAAUCCGAUUAUUCCAAGUGUGCACGCCGCCUUCCCGAGCCAAGGAAGACGCCUGCGAGCAUCAAGACGCCACGCUGCGUUUACUCCAGUUGUGGUCCCAAUGGGGCGGCGGAUAAACACAGAGGUAAUCAGCGGCUCAUCAGUUCACAGCUCUCUGAGCUCUUUGUCUCCACGGCGAUCCUCAGCAUCCAUGGAUAAUUACUCCUUCUGCUUAAAUUGAUCCAUAACUCUGUCCAAGACGGUUUAAAGUGUUUCCAGAGAGGCUUUUAUCUCCUGAUUUAACACAAAGCUCUGACCUCCAUUUGAAACAACAUGCAAAUAAAAGUGUUUUAAUCUAUUUUCACAAAAUUUAAAUUUCUGUAACUGGUAGAAAUAUCCCAGGAAUGUAUUUCUAUACUGUUAAUAAUAUAUUGAUUUUGGCUCAUG
Molecule: long non-coding RNA, 707 nt
Organism: Girardinichthys multiradiatus
Lineage: Eukaryota; Metazoa; Chordata; Actinopteri; Cyprinodontiformes; Goodeidae
Exons: 2
Source: RefSeq, a predicted model, not a curated record